Molecule: non-coding RNA, 384 nt
Organism: Poecilia reticulata (guppy)
Lineage: Eukaryota; Metazoa; Chordata; Actinopteri; Cyprinodontiformes; Poeciliidae
Source: RefSeq, a predicted model, not a curated record
UUCAGCCAUGUAGAAUUGGAAAUGCUAAGCUGAUCCCAUAACGUGUUCCUGGUUGUGAUGCAACAGCUGCUCUGGUGGGUAUAAAUACCAGCACCUUUCAUACGUCCGAUCAUCAGGCAGGAGGAGUAAAGAGCUGAUAUCAAGCUCAAAGCAAAUCCUUCAGAUUUUAAGAACUUCACCCGAUCAAGAUGAAGACGUUCCCCCUCGCCGCCGUGGCCGUGACCCUCGUCGUCGCGUUCAUCUGUGUUCAGGAGAGCGACGCUGCUCCAGCCGCAGACAUCUAUGAUAUUUUGGACGGGAGACUUGGUAUUGGCAUAUUCGAAUCGGAUGAAGAUGUGGCAGAGAUCUCAUUACUUGUAAGGGUUAACUUUGAAUGAAUGAAUG